GUGGGGAAUAUUGGACAAUGGGGGGAACCCUGAUCCAGCCAUGCCGCGUGUGUGAAGAAGGCCUUUUGGUUGUAAAGCACUUUAAGCGAGGAGGAGGCUACCGAGAUUAAUACUCUUGGAUAGUGGACGUUACUCGCAGAAUAAGCACCGGCUAACUCUGUGCCAGCAGCCGCGGUAAUACAGAGGGUGCAAGCGUUAAUCGGAUUUACUGGGCGUAAAGCGCGCGUAGGUGGCCAAUUAAGUCAAAUGUGAAAUCCCCGAGCUUAACUUGGGAAUUGCAUUCGAUACUGGUUAGCUAGAGUAUGGGAGAGGAUGGUAGAAUUCCAGGUGUAGCGGUGAAAUGCGUAGAGAUCUGGAGGAAUACCGAUGGCGAAGGCAGCCAUCUGGCCUAAUACUGACACUGAGGUGCGAAAGCAUGGGGAGCAAACAGGAUUAGAAACCCGUGUAGUCC
Molecule: ribosomal RNA, 451 nt
Filed under: uncultured bacterium
Lineage: Bacteria
Description: bacterial SSU rRNA
Rfam family: Bacterial small subunit ribosomal RNA
Source: RNAcentral